Dipodomys ordii (Ord's kangaroo rat) is the source of this 191-nucleotide small nucleolar RNA. Its record names the gene SNORA73. It matches the Rfam family "Small nucleolar RNA SNORA73 family". From Rfam's summary of the family: U17 (SNORA73A and SNORA73B) also known as E1 belongs to the H/ACA class of small nucleolar RNAs (snoRNAs). Vertebrate U17 is intron-encoded and ranges in length from 200-230 nucleotides, longer than most snoRNAs. It is one of the most abundant snoRNAs in human cells and is essential for the cleavage of pre-rRNA within the 5' external transcribed spacer (ETS). The record is from Ensembl. NCBI's taxonomy places the organism in Eukaryota, Metazoa, Chordata, Mammalia, Rodentia, Heteromyidae.
CCAACAUGGAUACCCUGGAUCUCACUCUCCCUGGGCUCUGUCCUGGGGCACAGGAUUCUGUCCAUCAUGUACAGUCCUUUCCCCAAGUGUUGGGUGUGGGGCUGGGUUUUGUGUCUGAACCUGCAUAUUCUUAUGACUUCCCAGAGUCUUGUGGACAAUGACUGAGGAGAUAAAACCUGCAGGACUAGGCU